Molecule: non-coding RNA, 285 nt
Organism: Rattus norvegicus (Norway rat)
Lineage: Eukaryota; Metazoa; Chordata; Mammalia; Rodentia; Muridae
Source: RefSeq, a predicted model, not a curated record
GGGCAGAUGAUUUGAAUAUGGAUCUAAAGAUCACCUUUUGUAAAGAAUGUGUUUAUGAAUAUGAACCUACGAAGGAGUGAACUUGACCAAGGACGACUGUUUGAGGAAAUGGCUUCCUUUUCCAAGCUGCUCAGGGUUGUGUUAAAUACCAGCAUAUGAGCCUGUAGUACUGACAGACCACACCAGAGCACACCCGAGAAGGCACGGGCCGCAUCUUUCAGACCGGAGACCAGUUAUUAGUGGCAUGUAGCUUAAAUAAAUAGAUCACAAGACUGAUGCACCAGA